UGUUCUUGAAGCUUAAGAGACAAUGGGUUUUUUCCUUUUAAGUUUUUUUUCUUUCUUUUUUAUGGGCUCCUUUCUCUGUCUUUAGCUUGUUUUCUUGGUCAUUUUUCUUUUAGUUUGUUGGAUGCUUUUGCUUCUGAUUCGAUUUUUCUUUUGCUUCAUCAUUCAACUUGGUUGAUUUCGUGGUUUUGUUUAGUUGUUUUUUUUUUGUUUUUCUUUGUGUGGUAUUGCUUUUCUCAUUUUAAUCCAUUUUUUUCUUUUUGUUUGUGGGUUUUGUUUCUAUCAUUUGUAUUUUUUUACAAGUUAUGGUCAAUUUGCUUCACCAUUUGGUAUUUGGAGAUUUAUUAUUUGCGUUUUUUUUUCUUUCGAACAGUUACGUUUCUUAGGAAUUAGUUCUUUUCUUUGGAUGUGUAAGUUUUCUUAUAAGUUUCAUUGUAUCUUUUUGCAGGUUGUGCUCUUUUGUAUAUUACUUUAAGUUUUCAUAUUUGAUUUUUUUUGUUUUAGUUGUGGGUUUUCUUAUUGUAUUUGGUUGUACUCUUUUUCUUUUGUUUCAUGUGAUCGUUAUCUUUUUUAUAUUUUGUCGGGGCAUUCAUUUUUUGGGUUCUUUAUUGUUUUCAUUGUUUUUGUUGUUUUACGUUAAUUUUAUCUGGUUUGUUUGCUUUACCUUCAUGUUGUGGGCAUUUUGGAGCUAUCUUUUUGUUAUUGUUUCUUAUUGUUUUCUGUUUGAGAUUUGUUCUUAAGAGAGAUUUGAAAUUAAAUGGCAUCGUUUUGGAGGCAAGGGAAAAUGAGUCAUUUUUUAUUCAAGCGGUGUUGCUUCAGGAAGAAAUAGAAGCUGCAAAACGGUAACAUUUUGGAGAUUGACCAGUUGAAUCCUUGAAGUGGGCCCGAUUCUCUUGGGCCAAUCCAAGUCCAAGGAAGAUCAUGAGGCAGCUGGUAACUAGGUCGAGGUGUCUUCGUAUAUUCGACCCUUAGUAGGUGUCUUGGCAUUCAACAGUUGUACAUUCGUUCGAGUCUCUCCUCUGGAAGUUGAGUACUCUUUUGUUGUGUAUAGACAGACCCAAUGUAAAUUAUUAAUACAUAUGUUUAGACAACACAUGUAUAUUAGAUUGUUAAUGCCAUUAUGAGUUGGCAAUGAAUAGCAUUAUCUUGAUUUUAAAUUAU
Theobroma cacao (cacao) is the source of this 1158-nucleotide non-coding RNA. NCBI's taxonomy places the organism in Eukaryota, Viridiplantae, Streptophyta, Magnoliopsida, Malvales, Malvaceae. The record is from RefSeq and is a predicted model, not a curated record.